GAUGAUUUUGUCUGCAACAAAUGCAACAAACGGUUCCCAGAUAUUGAAAGCUUAUAUCAACACAAGGCCAGAGACCAUGGCACGUCCUACCAAUGUGAUGUCUGUAAGGAAUUAGAAGCAAGAGAAGCAACUGGUAUUGGUUAUAUCUGUUGUGUCUGCGAUGCCGAGUUUGAAAUUGCCACUGAACUUGAAGAUCAUAUGAGUAGGCAUGACAAUGUGCUGCCCCACUAGCAAGGCAACAUAAAUUGAAACUAUUUUGGGUUUUAUUAGGCUGAUGCUAUAUGGGAAAAAUCAAUAUAUCGAG
Non-coding RNA from Paramuricea clavata, 304 nucleotides. The record is from the annotation of a GenBank genome assembly. Lineage: Eukaryota; Metazoa; Cnidaria; Anthozoa; Malacalcyonacea; Plexauridae.